CGCUCCCUCAAUUACUACCUCGAUCCCCCGCUCCGCUUGGCCCACUGAGGUGCAGUCUUCCUGGAUUGAACUAUGGAGGAAGAGACAUACAGUCCCCUCUCUCUCUUUUUCCUCUUUUCUCUUUGCUUGAGGCGAAACCGAUUCUAAAACUCAACCCAGAUUUCAGAUCAUUUAUUUUUUUAAACUCAACCCUGACACAAAAACAUGUCUCUGGUUAUGGUUAACACUCGUUCUCAUGUAACAUUAAAAGAAGAGAACAGAAAAGUGGAGUGAAUAUUUUUUUAAAAUCUGAAUGUAGAAACUAGCAUACGGUCAGGUCCCCAAAGGCCCCAGUGGUGGUUUUCUGUCUCUCGCCAGAUCGAUCUGUCGCUAGCGUCUCUACGCAUGGCUCUCUGUCUCUCUACUCCAGGAUAGGUUGAUCUGUCGCUAGCGUCUCUACGCAUGGCUCUCUGUCUCUCUACUCUAGGAUAGGUUGAUCUGUCGCUAGCGUCUCUAUGCAUGGCUCUCUGUCUCUCUACUCCAGGAUAGGUUGAUCUGUCGCUAGCGUCUCUACGCAUGGCUCUCUGUCUCUCUACUCCAGGAUA
Long non-coding RNA from Oncorhynchus tshawytscha (Chinook salmon), 584 nucleotides. NCBI's taxonomy places the organism in Eukaryota, Metazoa, Chordata, Actinopteri, Salmoniformes, Salmonidae. The record is from Ensembl.